Molecule: long non-coding RNA, 4576 nt
Organism: Mesocricetus auratus (golden hamster)
Lineage: Eukaryota; Metazoa; Chordata; Mammalia; Rodentia; Cricetidae
Exons: 15
Source: RefSeq, a predicted model, not a curated record
ACACACACACACACACACACACACAAUGCUAUGUGUUUGUGUUAUUGACAGCUAGAAUGACCAGAUGGCAGGAUAGCAGGAGACAGCUUUUGAUGUUCCCUAUCUUCCAUUUUCUCUCUUAGAAAAGGGGCACCAUCAGAACUUACAAAGAUGUAACUCUUUUACCCCAGUAAUGUUUCCAAAUUUUAAUUCAUGCAGGCAUGACUAUUGAGAUCAGCAAGAAAGUUCCCUGGAAACCUAUAUAGAAAUGAAGGAUGAUCUUGUAAAGGUGGCAGCUGACCUCCAAAGAAAAAACAUGGAAGAGGAAGCAUUUGUGGAGUACUACAAAUUUUUAACGGUUUGUGUUGCAGACUACAAAUAGAGUCUUUGAUAUUGCCGAGACACUGAAGAGCAAACUCCUGAGACAAUAAAGCAAGGAGUAUUCAGGUUUCCUGGCAGAUAAGGUAUAAGACUAAUCACUUUUCUCUAUAAAAAAAGAGAAGUGGAAGAGGCAGAAAUCAAGGCCCUCUGGGCAGAUGUAAGGAAUACAAUCAAAAACUCCCCAGACUUUGUGAAAUAGUGCUCUCCUGUGGAUAGACUCGUGGAUGGAGUUGAUGAAGAUAGUGGAGAGGUGGGCCCCAGAUUGGAAUCAGCAUCAAAAAUUUUUGAAGAAUCUUUAUCUGGAACCACUCCACAGGAAGCCUUUGAAGAGAUCACCCCCAACACAUCAUCAGACAAGCACUGUGUGGAGACUAAGGUGGUAGAAAAUCCCGGUAGCUCACCACCAGUUCAUGACUUGGAAAGACUCAUGUGAAGUGGACUCCAUUACAUCUGGCUAGCCACACCCACUUGAGACUGCAGCUCACCAGGAAAGCAAGGAGAUACUAGUGACAAGGUGCAUGAAGUCUGGAGCACUGAGCAGCACAGAGCAAGAUUCAUCCCCCUUUCCAUGUCCUCAGUGUUUGAUUCCCCGCAUCCACUUUGCUGUGGCAUGACUAUUGAGAUCAGCAAGAAAGUUCCCUGGAAACCUAUAUAGAAAUGAAGGAUGAUCUUGUAAAGGUGGCAGCUGACCUCCAAAGAAAAAACAUGGAAGAGGAAGCAUUUGUGGAGUACUACAAAUUUUUAACGGUUUGUGUUGCAGACUACAAAUAGAGUCUUUGAUAUUGCCGAGACACUGAAGAGCAAACUCCUGAGACAAUAAAGCAAGGAGUAUUCAGGUUUCCUGGCAGAUAAGGUAUAAGACUAAUCACUUUUCUCUAUAAAAAAAGAGAAGUGGAAGAGGCAGAAAUCAAGGCCCUCUGGGCAGAUGUAAGGAAUACAAUCAAAAACUCCCCAGACUUUGUGAAAUAGUGCUCUCCUGUGGAUAGACUCGUGGAUGGAGUUGAUGAAGAUAGUGGAGAGGUGGGCCCCAGAUUGGAAUCAGCAUCAAAAAUUUUUGAAGAAUCUUUAUCUGGAACCACUCCACAGGAAGCCUUUGAAGAGAUCACCCUCAACACAUCAUCAGACAAGCACUGUGUGGAGACUAAGGUGGUAGAAAAUCCCGGUAGCUCACCACCAGUUCAUGACUUGGAAAGACUCAUGUGAAGUGGACUCCAUUACAUCUGGCUAGCCACACCCACUUGAGACUGCAGCUCACCAGGAAAGCAAGGAGAUACUAGUGACAAGGUGCAUGAAGUCUGGAGCACUGAGCAGCACAGAGCAAGAUUCAUCCCCCUUUCCAUGUCCUCAGUGUUUGAUUCCCCGCAUCCACUUUGCUGUGGCAUGACUAUUGAGAUCAGCAAGAAAGUUCCCUGGAAACCUAUAUAGAAAUGAAGGAUGAUCUUGUAAAGGUGGCAGCUGACCUCCAAAGAAAAAACAUGGAAGAGGAAGCAUUUGUGGAGUACUACAAAUUUUUAACGGUUUGUGUUGCAGACUACAAAUAGAGUCUUUGAUAUUGCCGAGACACUGAAGAGCAAACUCCUGAGACAAUAAAGCAAGGAGUAUUCAGGUUUCCUGGCAGAUAAGGUAUAAGACUAAUCACUUUUCUCUAUAAAAAAAGAGAAGUGGAAGAGGCAGAAAUCAAGGCCCUCUGGGCAGAUGUAAGGAAUACAAUCAAAAACUCCCCAGACUUUGUGAAAUAGUGCUCUCCUGUGGAUAGACUCGUGGAUGGAGUUGAUGAAGAUAGUGGAGAGGUGGGCCCCAGAUUGGAAUCAGCAUCAAAAAUUUUUGAAGAAUCUUUAUCUGGAACCACUCCACAGGAAGCCUUUGAAGAGAUCACCCCCAACACAUCAUCAGACAAGCACUGUGUGGAGACUAAGGUGGUAGAAAAUCCCGGUAGCUCACCACCAGUUCAUGACUUGGAAAGACUCAUGUGAAGUGGACUCCAUUACAUCUGGCUAGCCACACCCACUUGAGACUGCAGCUCACCAGGAAAGCAAGGAGAUACUAGUGACAAGGUGCAUGAAGUCUGGAGCACUGAGCAGCACAGAGCAAGAUUCAUCCCCCUUUCCAUGUCCUCAGUGUUUGAUUCCCCGCAUCCACUUUGCUGUGGGUUUGUGUUGCAGACUACAAAUAGAGUCUUUGAUAUUGCCGAGACACUGAAGAGCAAACUCCUGAGACAAUAAAGCAAGGAGUAUUCAGGUUUCCUGGCAGAUAAGGUAUAAGACUAAUCACUUUUCUCUAUAAAAAAAGAGAAGUGGAAGAGGCAGAAAUCAAGGCCCUCUGGGCAGAUGUAAGGAAUACAAUCAAAAACUCCCCAGACUUUGUGAAAUAGUGCUCUCCUGUGGAUAGACUCGUGGAUGGAGUUGAUGAAGAUAGUGGAGAGGUGGGCCCCAGAUUGGAAUCAGCAUCAAAAAUUUUUGAAGAAUCUUUAUCUGGAACCACUCCACAGGAAGCCUUUGAAGAGAUCACCCCCAACACAUCAUCAGACAAGCACUGUGUGGAGACUAAGGUGGUAGAAAAUCCCGGUAGCUCACCACCAGUUCAUGACUUGGAAAGACUCAUGUGAAGUGGACUCCAUUACAUCUGGCUAGCCACACCCACUUGAGACUGCAGCUCACCAGGAAAGCAAGGAGAUACUAGUGACAAGGUGCAUGAAGUCUGGAGCACUGAGCAGCACAGAGCAAGAUUCAUCCCCCUUUCCAUGUCCUCAGUGUUUGAUUCCCCGCAUCCACUUUGCUGUGGCAUGACUAUUGAGAUCAGCAAGAAAGUUCCCUGGAAACCUAUAUAGAAAUGAAGGAUGAUCUUGUAAAGGUGGCAGCUGACCUCCAAAGAAAAAACAUGGAAGAGGAAGCAUUUGUGGAGUACUACAAAUUUUUAACGGUUUGUGUUGCAGACUACAAAUAGAGUCUUUGAUAUUGCCGAGACACUGAAGAGCAAACUCCUGAGACAAUAAAGCAAGGAGUAUUCAGGUUUCCUGGCAGAUAAGGUAUAAGACUAAUCAAUUUUCUCUAUAAAAAAGAGAAGUGGAAGAGGCAGAAAUCAAGGCCCUCUGGGCAGAUGUAAGGAAUACAAUCAAAAACUCCCCAGACUUUGUGAAAUAGUGCUCUCCUGUGGAUAGACUCGUGGAUGGAGUUGAUGAAGAUAGUGGAGAGGUGGGCCCCAGAUUGGAAUCAGCAUCAAAAAUUUUUGAAGAAUCUUUAUCUGGAACCACUCCACAGGAAGCCUUUGAAGAGAUCACCCUCAACACAUCAUCAGACAAGCACUGUGUGGAGACUAAGGUGGUAGAAAAUCCCGGUAACUCACCACCAGUUCAUGACUUGGAAAGACUCAUGUGAAGUGGACUCCAUUACAUCUGGCUAGCCACACCCACUUGAGACUGCAGCUCACCAGGAAAGCAAGGAGAUACUAGUGACAAGGUGCAUGAAGUCUGGAGCACUGAGCAGCACAGAGCAAGAUUCAUCCCCCUUUCCAUGUCCUCAGUGUUUGAUUCCCCGCAUCCACUUUGCUGUGGGUUUGUGUUGCAGACUACAAAUAGAGUCUUUGAUAUUGCCGAGACACUGAAGAGCAAACAGUUGUCAAAUAACUCAGCUCAUUAAAUUACCUACUUUUCUUUUCAAGUUUCUAAAGUAUGGGUUGAUUGUUGCUUGUCUCUUCUUGAAUGAGAAGCUCAAGCCAAAUUGCAAUGCUCUUCUCAAUGAGGCCCAAAUAAGAGUCAGCCUUUCCUAGCUCUGAGCUGUGUUUUCAGCAAACCACACAUUUCCAGAUGCAAAUGACAGCAUCAGUCUUAGCCAGCCUAGAGCCAGUGUACUUGGCAUUCUACAUAUUUGCAUGAUAUAACAUGGGAGCAGGAGUAAACUGUUCUGUUCUAUUGGACUUUAGAAAUAAUCAGGAAAGUGUGAGUGGCCCCAGGUCAGUUGAGAAAACUGUCCCUUAUAUAUUGUUGAGCUUAGUGCACCAUCUUCAAUCAGCAUGGCAGUCUUGGGCUGUGACUUAUGUAGGCUAUAUUGUAUAUGGAUAACCCUGCAGUUACAUGUUAUCAAGGAUCUACCCAAUACCUACAACACACCUUAGUGGGGAUUGUGUGUGAUGUUAUGAUAUUGAGAAAGUCUCUGCAUGUUUCCAUGCUGCCUGAAACCUUAAAAUUUGAUAGAGUUUCUCAUGGGCUCACAGGUUUUUU